RNAcentral lists this unclassified non-coding RNA (377 nucleotides) under uncultured Gammaproteobacteria bacterium. RNAcentral's name for it is "contains 16S-23S intergenic spacer region". Lineage: Bacteria; Pseudomonadati; Pseudomonadota; Gammaproteobacteria. The record is from RNAcentral.
UCCGGCUUAUCACCGGCGGUUUCUUUAGAGUGCCCAACUAAAUGAUGGCAACUAAAGACGAGGGUUGCGCUCGUUGCGGGACUUAACCCAACAUCUCACGACACGAGCUGACGACAGCCAUGCAGCACCUGUGUAAAGGUUCUCUUUCGAGCACUCCUCAAUCUCUCGAGGAUUCCUUCCAUGUCAAGGGUAGGUAAGGUUUUUCGCGUUGCAUCGAAUUAAUCCACAUCAUCCACCGCUUGUGCGGGUCCCCGUCAAUUCCUUUGAGUUUUAAUCUUGCGACCGUACUCCCCAGGCGGUCUACUUCACGCGUUAGCUGCGUUACCAAGUCAAUUAAGACCCGACAACUAGUAGACAUCGUUUAGGGCGUGGACUAC